Molecule: RNA transcript, 2075 nt
Organism: Ctenocephalides felis (cat flea)
Lineage: Eukaryota; Metazoa; Arthropoda; Insecta; Siphonaptera; Pulicidae
Gene: tmod
Gene name: tropomodulin
Exons: 10
Source: RefSeq, a predicted model, not a curated record
GCCAAAGCAUUAGAACAAAACAACACAUUGCGAGUAGUCAAUGUUGAAACCAACUUUAUAUCUCCACCUGUGAUUGUUACAUUGGUUAAAUCACUGCUGAAAACUAAGAGUGUGGAGGAAUUCAGAGCAUCUAACCAAAGGGCAUCUGUUCUUGGCAAUAAGAUAGAGAUGGAAAUUACAGAUUUAGUUGAGAAAAAUCCAACACUACUUCGUCUUGGUCUCCACUUGGAAUACAAUGAUGCUAGGCAUCGCAUUUCAGCACAUUUGCAAAGGAACAUUGACAGGAACCUCUUCCACAACAACCAAAACUACUAUGACGACUCCAGCAAAAUUGUAUGGAAAAGAUCUGAGUGAAUACGAUGAAAUUGAUGUAGACACACUUUUAUCACAACUAUCACCUGAAGAGAUAAAUAUAUUAGCGAAAGAAGUAGAUCCAGAUGACUCAUUCUUGCCACCAAGUCAAAGAUGCAGUUAUGAGUGUGAGAAAGAAGCAACUGGACCACUAAAUCGCCAAAAAUUAAUUGACCACAUCAAUAAACAAGCUCUAGAAACUCCAGAUAUUCCCGAACUGAAACCCUAUGUGGCUGGUACCAUAAGAGGGAAAAAGUGGAUACCACCUCCUGAAAGUGCUAAAGUAAAGGAAAUUGAAGAAGAAAUUGCUAUUGACUUAGGUGAUGAAUAUGAGACCGCCUUAUCUGAUGCCACUCAAGAAGAAAUUAUUGAUUUAGCUGCUAUCUUGGGCUUCCACUCUAUGAUGAAUCAAGAUCAAUACCAUGCUUCUUUACUGAAUAAAGGCCAACCUCUUGGAAUGGGUUGGGAUGGUAUAACAAAAGCAUCAAAACCUAAAAUUUAUCCACAAGAUCCUCCUAACACUACAGACCCCGAUGAUAGCAUCAAACAGGUUAAAGAGGAUGAUCACAAGUUAAUUGAUAUGAAUUGGAAUAAUAUUAAGAAUAUCUCUGAUGAGAAAUUUGAGCAGCUGAUUGAUUCUUUACCUUCUAAUACACAUCUGGAAGUAUUAUCACUUUCCAAUGUUGGUCUAACAGAUCGUUUGGCCUUGCAAUUAGCCAAAGCAUUAGAACAAAACAACACAUUGCGAGUAGUCAAUGUUGAAACCAACUUUAUAUCUCCACCUGUGAUUGUUACAUUGGUUAAAUCACUGCUGAAAACUAAGAGUGUGGAGGAAUUCAGAGCAUCUAACCAAAGGGCAUCUGUUCUUGGCAAUAAGAUAGAGAUGGAAAUUACAGAUUUAGUUGAGAAAAAUCCAACACUACUUCGUCUUGGUCUCCACUUGGAAUACAAUGAUGCUAGGCAUCGCAUUUCAGCACAUUUGCAAAGGAACAUUGACAGGAUAAGAGUGUCUCGCCAAAACCAGCGCACGUAGUUCUAAAAUAUCUAAACCUAUAUGUAAAACAAAGAAUUGUGAAAUUGCCGCUAGAUUUCAUCCAACCAAACAAUCGCAUGCGCAGGAUGGGACUAUUCUCUCGCAACUAUUUAAUUUGCUAAAUAAAAAGUAUAAUAAAUUGUUUAAACAUCUUAUUAUACUGUGCUACAAUGGAACUGCCACCACAUAACAUUUUAUACUUAUACAAAUAUUUUGCACAAUUGUUUGUUAAUGUACGUUGUACAUUUUUCAUACUUUGGAAACAUUUAGGGUUAAUUUAACACACAAUUGAUAUAAUUUAUUCAAAAGGAUAAAGUUUUACAGAUUAAUUUCAAUGUUUUUAUGAGCAUAUUAUUCUUGUUAACAUUUCAAAUUUUCGCUUUGCUUGAAAUAUUUGUAGCUAUUUGUGAUCUUGGGCUCGAAGUUGAAAUUUUAUAAUAGGAUAUAGAAUGCUCUACUAGCUUUAUAUAUUAGAUGUAUUAAAACAAUAUUGCUUGUUUCGUAAACAGAAUUAUUUGACCGGGUGCCUUUUGUAUAAAACAACGCACAUGCUCAUAGAUUUCUUUUAUUGAAGGAUAAUAUUUUAUUUAAUGUUUUCUAGCUUUUGUCUAUUUUAUAUAACGAGAUGUUAUUUUCGAGCUAAAAUGCAUAAAUUUAACAAAGUAUGACCCAAACUGCUUUUGGCGUUAGA